This 93-nucleotide transfer RNA is filed under the name Candidatus Dechloromonas phosphorivorans. Its description in RNAcentral is "tRNA-Lys". Lineage: Bacteria; Pseudomonadati; Pseudomonadota; Betaproteobacteria; Rhodocyclales; Azonexaceae. The record is from RNAcentral.
GGGAUAAUGCGAACUGUUGCAAACUACUACAAACUUAUGUAUUGCGGACUCUUAAUCCGUAGGUCGACAGUUCGAAUCUGUCGCGCCCCACCA